RNAcentral lists this ribosomal RNA (447 nucleotides) under uncultured Shewanellaceae bacterium. Its description in RNAcentral is "bacterial SSU rRNA". It matches the Rfam family "Bacterial small subunit ribosomal RNA", at positions 1088 to 1532 of the family's 1533-position model. Lineage: Bacteria; Pseudomonadati; Pseudomonadota; Gammaproteobacteria; Alteromonadales; Shewanellaceae. The record is from RNAcentral.
CGCACGAGCGCACCCCNUAUCCNUUAUUUGCCAGCACGUAAUGGGUGGGAACUCUAGGGAANACUGCCGGUGAUAAACCGGAGGAAGGUGGGGACGACGUCAAGUCAUCAUGGCCCUUACGAGUAGGGCUACACACGUGCUACAAUGGCGUAUACAGAGGGUUGCAAAGCCGCGAGGUGGAGCUAAUCUCACAAAGUACGUCGUAGUCCGGAUCGGAGUCUGCAACUCGACUCCGUGAAGUCGGAAUCGCUAGUAAUCGUGGAUCAGAAUGCCACGGUGAAUACGUUCCCGGGCCUUGUACACACCGCCCGUCACACCAUGGGAGUGGGCUGCAAAAGAAGUGGGUAGUUUAACCUUCGGGAGAACGCUCACCACUUUGUGGUUCAUGACUGGGGUGAAGUCGUAACAAGGUAGCCCUAGGGGAACCUGGGGCUGGAUCACCUCCUU